Molecule: small nuclear RNA, 160 nt
Filed under: Otus sunia (Oriental scops-owl)
Lineage: Eukaryota; Metazoa; Chordata; Aves; Strigiformes; Strigidae
Description: U1 spliceosomal RNA (ENSOSUG00000007683.1)
Rfam family: U1 spliceosomal RNA
About the family: U1 is a small nuclear RNA (snRNA) component of the spliceosome (involved in pre-mRNA splicing). Its 5' end forms complementary base pairs with the 5' splice junction, thus defining the 5' donor site of an intron.
Source: RNAcentral
AUACCUAUCUGGCAGAGAGGCAUUCUGAUCAUGAAGGUGGUUUUUGAGAGUGAGCCUCAUCACUAGCCUUCAAGUAGGCUGACUCCUGCAGUUUCCCAAGAUCCAAGGAACUUGACUGUAAAAUUUGCGAUGUGGGAGACUGUUUUUGUUCUUUUUCCUG